UACGGGAGGCAGCAGUGGGGAAUAUUGCACAAUGGGCGCAAGCCUGAUGCAGCCAUGCCGCGUGUAUGAAGAAGGCCUUCGGGUUGUAAAGUACUUUCAGUCGUGAGGAAGGUGUUAAGGUUAAUAACCUUAGCAAUUGACGUUAGCGACAGAAGAAGCACCGGCUAACUCCGUGCCAGCAGCCGCGGUAAUACGGAGGGUGCGAGCGUUAAUCGGAAUUACUGGGCGUAAAGGGCACGCAGGCGGUUAAUUAAGUUGGAUGUGAAAUCCCCGGGCUUAACCUGGGAAUGGCAUUCAAGACUGGUUAGCUAGAGUCUUGUAGAGGGGGUAGAAUUCCAUGUGUAGCGGUGAAAUGCGUAGAGAUGUGGAGGAAUACCGGUGGCGAAGGCGGGCCCCUGGACAAAGACUGACGCUCAUGUGCGAAAGCGUGGGGAGGCAAACAGGGAUUAGAUACC
Molecule: ribosomal RNA, 455 nt
Filed under: uncultured bacterium
Lineage: Bacteria
Description: bacterial SSU rRNA
Rfam family: Bacterial small subunit ribosomal RNA
Source: RNAcentral